RNAcentral lists this unclassified non-coding RNA (240 nucleotides) under soil metagenome. RNAcentral's name for it is "partial contains 5.8S ribosomal RNA, internal transcribed spacer 2, and large subunit ribosomal RNA". The record is from RNAcentral.
AACCUUAUGGACCUGCGGGCGUAUACCUGCGGAAGGAUCAUUACACAUAUUACGGGGGGUCGGUCACCCAGAGCGUCGCCUCUUAGCACCUCUGGGCCCUGCCCUGUCUGAAUAUUCUACCCAUGUCUUUUGCGCACUCUUCGUUUCCUCGGUGGGCUUGCCUGCCGAUAGGACACUAUAAAACCUUUUUGUAAUUGCAAUCAGCGUCAGAAAAACUUUUAAUAGUUACAACUUUCAGCA